Biomphalaria pfeifferi is the source of this 293-nucleotide non-coding RNA. NCBI's taxonomy places the organism in Eukaryota, Metazoa, Mollusca, Gastropoda, Planorbidae. The record is from the annotation of a GenBank genome assembly.
UUUAAACACAAGUGCGGCAAUCCUUGUGCUAUAGCGAACCCACGUCUAGGGUUUAAAGGCAGACAUGACCUCAACGCGACACUGAACAGUUUCCAUUCCCUCACACAACAUCGGAUUAUUUUUUUUUCUUCUCAAGCAGGACACUCAAGUUUCAUCUCUCUUCUCUCUACCACUGUUGUUUUUAGUCAGAGAAUAAAGAGUUCUUUGUUCGAUAGGAUUACAAAACCAUGAACUAGUUACUAGAUCUAGAUAUUGAGGCUUACAUCUAGAUAUAAAGUUUAGAUCCCAACACC